GGAGUGUGACAUUUCUGCGAGAAUGCUUAAAUACCGAUUUCCCGCAGGAACAAUGGCGCUGUCUUCAGUGGCACAGUGGAGCAGCUCUGAAGAUGCAAAGAUACACGAAAAAACUUCCAGAACAUCUGGGAGAAUAUUUAAUGGAAAAUCGCUUGGUUAAAACCUGACACUCUUAACAGUGAGGGUCGCUGUCUGCCCAUUGAUAGAGGCCAGAUUGUCUUGGAAGUUCCAAAGUUGCAACGAUUUCUUUAGUUGAAUCCAUGGACAUGAAACCCACAGAUAUAGAGGGUUGGCCCAGUGCAGUGGCUCACGCCUGUAAUCCCAGCACUUUGGGAGGCCAAGGCGGGUGGAUCACCUGAGGUCAGAAGCUUGAGACAAGCCUGGCCAACAUGGGUACUGCUUUCUCUUGCUGCAGCUUGCUUCCUCCCUCAGGUAUGAAGUUAAGCUACUUGGGAGGCUGAGGCAGGAGAAUCGCUUGAACCCGGGAGGCGGAGGUUGCCAUGAGCCGAGAUUGCGCCACUACACUCCAGCCUGGGCAACAAAAGCGAAACUCCAUCUCAAAAAAAAAAAAAAAGCAUAUAAAAUUAUAGCUGGGUAGGAGGAAUAAGUUCUAGUGUUCUACACCACUGUGGGAUGACUAUAGUUAACAAUAAUACAUACUUUCAGGUAACAUGAAGGAGGAUAUUGAAUGUUCCUAACACAAAGAAAUGAUAAAUGUUUGAGAUGGUGGAUGUGCUAAUUGCCCUGAUCUGAUGACUAUACAUUAUAUAUAUUGAAACAUCAGUAUGUACCCCAUGAAUAUGUACAAUUAUAUGUCAACUUAAAAACAUUUAAAAGUAAAAAAAAAAAAAAA
This 853-nucleotide long non-coding RNA is filed under the name Pan troglodytes (chimpanzee). Its description in RNAcentral is "lincRNA". Lineage: Eukaryota; Metazoa; Chordata; Mammalia; Primates; Hominidae. The record is from RNAcentral.